RNAcentral lists this ribosomal RNA (216 nucleotides) under Triticum aestivum (bread wheat). RNAcentral describes it as "partial small subunit ribosomal RNA". Lineage: Eukaryota; Viridiplantae; Streptophyta; Magnoliopsida; Poales; Poaceae. The record is from RNAcentral.
AUGUCAAAGUCGUGCAAGGGGCUAGCCAUGGAGCUCGUCAAGUGCCUCAGCGAGACCGACUGCGUCAAGGUGCAGAAGAGGCCGUACAAGGAGUGCGCGGGGGAGAAGGCGCCCAACAUCACCAGCGAGUGCGUCGGCCUGCGGGAGACCUACUUCAACUGCAAAAGGGGCCAGGUUGACAUGCGAGCCCGGAUACGUGGGAACAAGGGGUAUUGA